UAACUCUCUUGGGACUCUUAUUGGUCUUCCUCUUCUCCACUGCUUUUGUCGAACGUGUUCAAAAGGAUUUGAAACCAACUAUUGGAGGAAGAAAAUCAAUCACUCUCCUUUGUCUCCUAUUGGGACCACUGCCCCACCCCCCCCAACAAAAGGAUAAAUUCCUGGAAAGUGUAAAGGGAAGAAAGCCCCUCCAUUGGGAAAUAGGUUGGUGUCAGGCUACUUGCUUGUCUGAUUCUUCACAAUGAUAAAGGCCAGCAGAGAAAGUUCAGUGCAAAAGUUCAUCAGCCACCAGGCCAUCAGGAGCAUCUAUUGAUCAAAUCAAAUGUUCACUUCAAACUGCGUUUCUUAACCUGCAGGUGUAGAAUCACCCAUAACAGAUACAGUCACACCUAUCUCUGCACAUACUUGUACGUUCAGGACAACCUGAUGUAUUACAAUUAACAACAUGGUGUCAGUACUGCAGAAGGAUUCACUUGUAUAAAAUAUCCACCAGAGAAAUCGCCUGGAAGUUACUUUCUAAUCUCCUUGACUCUUCCUCGGUACCUUGUGGAAUAGAUGUGGGCUGGGGUAUAGCUUCUGGAUGGUCAUAUAAAUUGAACAGAGGAUAAGUGGAGCCCUUUUUUCAUCUCUUCCAAAAUAUGAAACAUUGCACUGAUCUCGGUGGAAAUAAAUGCCAAAGAGUCAGAUCAUUUAAGAGCGGAGGAAAAGAUUUUUCUGGAGAAGAAGCUCAAUUUAAUAAAUCCUUUGCCGAGGGAUUUGCUCAAACUUUUGGUACUCACCCAAGCAUUUGUCUGAAAAGAGUUUUGUCUUCUCUCGCCAUUGUUGCAAGAUACUGGUAAGGAAAGCUGUUUGAACUUCCUCAAAACAUCAACAUUUAAUACUCCUUAAGUUUCCAACAGGAAAACGAGGUAAGUUAAUAUUUUCCCAUGUUGAUACAUAAUUGAAUUAGAGUUUUACUUAACUUAAUAAAUUGCCACCUGGGGUAAUAGAACCAUGAACAGCACUUAAUUUCAGGUCUGCAUUAACUGUGCUUUCUCACUGCCCCGGUCUGAGUGCCUGUUACCACGGCUCCCAAAGGCAUCAGGGUAAGAAAAUCAUUUUCAAGAAAGUUCUGGGAACAAACUGUGUUAGCUUGGGGAGGCUGAAGGUGGGAAAUUAGGGUCAUGUUCAUGCCUGAGUGCACUGUACCAUAACACACACUGUGGUUGUAGUUUAUAUUAUAAUACGUCAAGACUAAGGAGGUACUCCCGGCUCAGAUCAGGUAGUCCUCUGCAACUAUCUAGACCAGCGAUGUACAGUGCAUCUCCAGCUUUAUAUUGCUGGGAGGAGAACUGGACUUCCAAAAGUUUUGAUGUAACUUCACUCAUGAAGAUUUACUAUGCUCAGUUCCACUGGUGAAACCCUUUAUGAAGAACUCAGAAAGGUACGCUUCGGUUUUUGUCAGAUUUGUUGGCAAUCUCUCUGUGCCACCUGCCUUCUGUAACCUUUAGAUAAGUAAACCCAGGAGUGGUGAAGCCUGAUCUCUCCAUCAAUCUCAAGUUACUAUUGACUCAAGGUUCAUUCUAACUCCACCAUAACCCAAUUUUUAAAAACAAAAAUGUCUUUGCUGAGAUAAUAAAGAAGAAACAUCAUGAGUUUCUACAAAUACCUUCAAAAGACAGAAUCCAAACAGAG
RNAcentral lists this long non-coding RNA (1674 nucleotides) under Homo sapiens (human). RNAcentral describes it as "HSALNT0047775". Lineage: Eukaryota; Metazoa; Chordata; Mammalia; Primates; Hominidae. The record is from RNAcentral.